This 232-nucleotide long non-coding RNA is filed under the name Homo sapiens (human). RNAcentral describes it as "HSALNT0185547". The record is from RNAcentral. Lineage: Eukaryota; Metazoa; Chordata; Mammalia; Primates; Hominidae.
GCAGCAAAGGAAACCUAAAGGCAAUAAAAGCUCCAUUUCAGGAACCGAACAGGAAAUAUUCCAAGUAGAAUUAAACCUUCAAAAUGCUUCUCUGAAUCAUCAAGGGAUUGAUAAAAUAUAUGACUGCCAAGGUUUACUGCCACCUCCAGAGAAGCUCACUGCUGAGGUCCUAGGAAUCAUUUGCAUUGUCCUGAUGGCCACUGUGUUAAAAACAAUAGUUCUUAUUCCUUGU